GUCGAUGAAGAGUGCAGCCGACUGUGUGAAUUAAUGUGAAUCGCAGACUGAUUUGAACAUCGACACUUCGAACGCAUCUAGA
RNAcentral lists this ribosomal RNA (82 nucleotides) under Echinococcus granulosus. RNAcentral describes it as "partial 5.8S ribosomal RNA". Lineage: Eukaryota; Metazoa; Platyhelminthes; Cestoda; Cyclophyllidea; Taeniidae. The record is from RNAcentral.